GUCCCGGUAGCUCAGCUGGAUAGAGCAACGGUUUCCUAAACCGUAGGUCGUGGGUUCGAAUCCCGCCCGGGAUGCCA
This 77-nucleotide transfer RNA is filed under the name Planctomycetota bacterium. Its description in RNAcentral is "Planctomycetes bacterium (activated sludge metagenome) tRNA-Arg". It matches the Rfam family "tRNA". From Rfam's summary of the family: Transfer RNA (tRNA) molecules are approximately 80 nucleotides in length. Their secondary structure includes four short double-helical elements and three loops (D, anti-codon, and T loops). The record is from RNAcentral. Lineage: Bacteria; Pseudomonadati; Planctomycetota.